UACGUAGGGUGCGAGCGUUACUCGGAAUUACUGGGCGUAAAGCGCACGUAGGCGGCUUUGUAAGUUAGAGGUGAAAGCCCGGGGCUCAACUCCGGAAUUGCCUUUAAGACUGCAUCGCUAGAAUUGUGGAGAGGUAAGUGGAAUUCCGAGUGUAGAGGUGAAAUUCGUAGAUAUUCGGAAGAACACCAGUGGCGAAGGCGACUUACUGGACACAUAUUGACGCUGAGGUGCGAAAGCGUGGGGAGCAAACAGG
This 253-nucleotide ribosomal RNA is filed under the name uncultured bacterium. RNAcentral describes it as "partial 16S ribosomal RNA". It matches the Rfam family "Bacterial small subunit ribosomal RNA", at positions 524 to 776 of the family's 1533-position model. The record is from RNAcentral.